This 2924-nucleotide ribosomal RNA is filed under the name Escherichia coli IS5. RNAcentral describes it as "LSU rRNA". It matches the Rfam family "Bacterial large subunit ribosomal RNA". The record is from RNAcentral. Lineage: Bacteria; Pseudomonadati; Pseudomonadota; Gammaproteobacteria; Enterobacterales; Enterobacteriaceae.
GGUUAAGCGACUAAGCGUACACGGUGGAUGCCCUGGCAGUCAGAGGCGAUGAAGGACGUGCUAAUCUGCGAUAAGCGUCGGUAAGGUGAUAUGAACCGUUAUAACCGGCGAUUUCCGAAUGGGGAAACCCAGUGUGUUUCGACACACUAUCAUUAACUGAAUCCAUAGGUUAAUGAGGCGAACCGGGGGAACUGAAACAUCUAAGUACCCCGAGGAAAAGAAAUCAACCGAGAUUCCCCCAGUAGCGGCGAGCGAACGGGGAGCAGCCCAGAGCCUGAAUCAGUGUGUGUGUUAGUGGAAGCGUCUGGAAAGGCGCGCGAUACAGGGUGACAGCCCCGUACACAAAAAUGCACAUACUGUGAGCUCGAUGAGUAGGGCGGGACACGUGGUAUCCUGUCUGAAUAUGGGGGGACCAUCCUCCAAGGCUAAAUACUCCUGACUGACCGAUAGUGAACCAGUACCGUGAGGGAAAGGCGAAAAGAACCCCGGCGAGGGGAGUGAAAAAGAACCUGAAACCGUGUACGUACAAGCAGUGGGAGCCUCUUAAUGGGGUGACUGCGUACCUUUUGUAUAAUGGGUCAGCGACUUAUAUUCUGUAGCAAGGUUAACCGAAUAGGGGAGCCGAAGGGAAACCGAGUCUUAACUGGGCGUUAAGUUGCAGGGUAUAGACCCGAAACCCGGUGAUCUAGCCAUGGGCAGGUUGAAGGUUGGGUAACACUAACUGGAGGACCGAACCGACUAAUGUUGAAAAAUUAGCGGAUGACUUGUGGCUGGGGGUGAAAGGCCAAUCAAACCGGGAGAUAGCUGGUUCUCCCCGAAAGCUAUUUAGGUAGCGCCUCGUGAAUUCAUCUCCGGGGGUAGAGCACUGUUUCGGCAAGGGGGUCAUCCCGACUUACCAACCCGAUGCAAACUGCGAAUACCGGAGAAUGUUAUCACGGGAGACACACGGCGGGUGCUAACGUCCGUCGUGAAGAGGGAAACAACCCAGACCGCCAGCUAAGGUCCCAAAGUCAUGGUUAAGUGGGAAACGAUGUGGGAAGGCCCAGACAGCCAGGAUGUUGGCUUAGAAGCAGCCAUCAUUUAAAGAAAGCGUAAUAGCUCACUGGUCGAGUCGGCCUGCGCGGAAGAUGUAACGGGGCUAAACCAUGCACCGAAGCUGCGGCAGCGACACUAUGUGUUGUUGGGUAGGGGAGCGUUCUGUAAGCCUGUGAAGGUGUACUGUGAGGUAUGCUGGAGGUAUCAGAAGUGCGAAUGCUGACAUAAGUAACGAUAAAGCGGGUGAAAAGCCCGCUCGCCGGAAGACCAAGGGUUCCUGUCCAACGUUAAUCGGGGCAGGGUGAGUCGACCCCUAAGGCGAGGCCGAAAGGCGUAGUCGAUGGGAAACAGGUUAAUAUUCCUGUACUUGGUGUUACUGCGAAGGGGGGACGGAGAAGGCUAUGUUGGCCGGGCGACGGUUGUCCCGGUUUAAGCGUGUAGGCUGGUUUUCCAGGCAAAUCCGGAAAAUCAAGGCUGAGGCGUGAUGACGAGGCACUACGGUGCUGAAGCAACAAAUGCCCUGCUUCCAGGAAAAGCCUCUAAGCAUCAGGUAACAUCAAAUCGUACCCCAAACCGACACAGGUGGUCAGGUAGAGAAUACCAAGGCGCUUGAGAGAACUCGGGUGAAGGAACUAGGCAAAAUGGUGCCGUAACUUCGGGAGAAGGCACGCUGAUAUGUAGGUGAAGUCCCUCGCGGAUGGAGCUGAAAUCAGUCGAAGAUACCAGCUGGCUGCAACUGUUUAUUAAAAACACAGCACUGUGCAAACACGAAAGUGGACGUAUACGGUGUGACGCCUGCCCGGUGCCGGAAGGUUAAUUGAUGGGGUUAGCGGUAACGCGAAGCUCUUGAUCGAAGCCCCGGUAAACGGCGGCCGUAACUAUAACGGUCCUAAGGUAGCGAAAUUCCUUGUCGGGUAAGUUCCGACCUGCACGAAUGGCGUAAUGAUGGCCAGGCUGUCUCCACCCGAGACUCAGUGAAAUUGAACUCGCUGUGAAGAUGCAGUGUACCCGCGGCAAGACGGAAAGACCCCGUGAACCUUUACUAUAGCUUGACACUGAACAUUGAGCCUUGAUGUGUAGGAUAGGUGGGAGGCUUUGAAGUGUGGACGCCAGUCUGCAUGGAGCCGGCCUUGAAAUACCACCCUUUAAUGUUUGAUGUUCUAACGUUGGCCCCUGAUCGGGGUUGCGGACAGUGUCUGGUGGGUAGUUUGACUGGGGCGGUCUCCUCCUAAAGAGUAACGGAGGAGCACGAAGGUUGGCUAAUCCUGGUCGGACAUCAGGAGGUUAGUGCAAUGGCAUAAGCCAGCUUGACUGCGAGCGUGACGGCGCGAGCAGGUGCGAAAGCAGGUCAUAGUGAUCCGGUGGUUCUGAAUGGAAGGGCCAUCGCUCAACGGAUAAAAGGUACUCCGGGGAUAACAGGCUGAUACCGCCCAAGAGUUCAUAUCGACGGCGGUGUUUGGCACCUCGAUGUCGGCUCAUCACAUCCUGGGGCUGAAGUAGGUCCCAAGGGUAUGGCUGUUCGCCAUUUAAAGUGGUACGCGAGCUGGGUUUAGAACGUCGUGAGACAGUUCGGUCCCUAUCUGCCGUGGGCGCUGGAGAACUGAGGGGGGCUGCUCCUAGUACGAGAGGACCGGAGUGGACGCAUCACUGGUGUUCGGGUUGUCAUGCCAAUGGCACUGCCCGGUAGCUAAAUGCGGAAGAGAUAAGUGCUGAAAGCAUCUAAGCACGAAACUUGCCCCGAGAUGAGUUCUCCCUGACUCCUUGAGAGUCCUGAAGGAACGUUGAAGACGACGACGUUGAUAGGCCGGGUGUGUAAGCGCAGCGAUGCGUUGAGCUAACCGGUACUAAUGAACCGUGAGGCUUAACCUUACAACGCCGAAGAUGUUUUG